UGGGGAAUUUUGGACAAUGGGGGAAACCCUGAUCCAGCCAUCCCGCGUGUGCGAUGAAGGCCUUCGGGUUGUAAAGCACUUUUGGCAGGAAAGAAACGUCGCGGGUUAAUACCCCGCGAAACUGACGGUACCUGCAGAAUAAGCACCGGCUAACUACGUGCCAGCAGCCGCGGUAAUACGUAGGGUGCAAGCGUUAAUCGGAAUUACUGGGCGUAAAGCGUGCGCAGGCGGUUCGGAAAGAAAGAUGUGAAAUCCCAGAGCUUAACUUUGGAACUGCAUUUUUAACUACCGGGCUAGAGUGUGUCAGAGGGAGGUAGAAUUCCACGCGUAGCAGUGAAAUGCGUAGAGAUGUGGAGGAAUACCGAUGGCGAAGGCAGCCCCCUGGGCCAAUACUGACGCUCAUGCACGAAAGCGUGGGGAGCAAACAGGAUUAGAUACCCU
This 441-nucleotide ribosomal RNA is filed under the name uncultured bacterium. RNAcentral describes it as "partial 16S ribosomal RNA". It matches the Rfam family "Bacterial small subunit ribosomal RNA", at positions 355 to 788 of the family's 1533-position model. The record is from RNAcentral.